Molecule: long non-coding RNA, 700 nt
Organism: Stegodyphus dumicola
Lineage: Eukaryota; Metazoa; Arthropoda; Arachnida; Araneae; Eresidae
Source: RefSeq, a predicted model, not a curated record
AAACCACAAGAAGAAGUAAACAAACAUGGCAUAAUUUAUCUAUCAAAUCAAGAGUUUUCCCCCGAGAUAUUUUGAACGGUUUAACGUAGUUUUAUUUUUUAUUCCUAACGUACUAAAAUUUUUCCUGAGUUCCGUGUGCAUUAUAUCAAUGUAAAUUUUGUUUUCUUUUUUGAAAUUGAACGCAUGGUAUCGUUAUGUAACCUUCACCUACAUAUGUUUCACGGUUCUUCUGAAAAUUGCUUAUAAUGGACCUUGAAACGGAAAGGUUUUCAUAGAAGUAUUGCCAACCAGUCAGAAUCGGCCAUGCCCCGUCGAAACGUAAUACAUGUGCACUUUGUGAACCGCCCUUUUAGAAAUAAUCUCAGCAAUAACAAUCAACAAAAUCCUAUAAUCUAUAUGAGGGAUAAUUUAUUCCAUGAACUAUUCAUCCGAUUUGCAUUGUUUUAUGGCCGAAUAUUUUCCCAGACUGAGAUGAAGAUCAUCGAAAUGAUAUUUUUGACUAUGGUAUGUGUGAUAUUAUUAUUAUUAUUUAGAACUGACUGUGAUAUGUGUUAUAUUAUUAUUGUUUAGGUAUUAUUGUUUGUUCCAAAGUACUCAUAUUAAAUUGGAAAUUUUGCCACAAUACUUGCCACUUAUUAAAAUCACCUGUGUAUGAGGUGUGACACACACACGCACAAAAAAAAAAAAAAAAAAAAAAAAA